ACUCCACCCAACUUUAAAUGUCCCCAUAGUUUUAAUGUUCAAAACACUGUUCUAAAGUCAAAGUCUUUAAGACUCAAGGUGAGUCCCUGUGAAAUGAAAAAAAAAUACGUUCAGUGCUUCCAACCUAUACUGGUCAGGGUAAACAUGUCCUUUCAAAAGGAGAAACAUGAAGCUACAUAUGGAGGAAAUGGGGUCCAGAGUGAGGCUGGCACUGUCAGGACACAUGUCAGACCCUUCACUUCCGUCUCUUCAUCUAGGGUUCAUGGUGGUAUCAUCUGGGCUUCAUCUCAAAUGUCAUCAUUAGAACUUCACCUCAAAGGCUUCAAAUGAAAGGCACAAGCCUCCAUGUAGGGAACCUGACCUUCUAUUCCUGGUCCUCAGCAGCUUCCUUAACCUUUCCAUACACCUCCUCCCCUAUUCACUCUUCAUGGCCGUGCCUGAAAAACCAGUGCCGGCUGGGUAAUGCCAACUCCAGUGUAGCUUGUCCCCUUAGACCUGAGCUGGAGUGACCUCUGAGUGUCUGACUAGCUGACCUGGGAAAAUAGUUUUCUAGAAGGCCCUACUGGAAUGGGACAUCUAAGAGACUCUUAUUA
RNAcentral lists this long non-coding RNA (593 nucleotides) under Rattus norvegicus (Norway rat). RNAcentral describes it as "long non-coding RNA NONRATT005506". Lineage: Eukaryota; Metazoa; Chordata; Mammalia; Rodentia; Muridae. The record is from RNAcentral.